GCCCCCGUAGUAAAGUGGAUAUUACAAGUCCCUCCUAAGGAUUAGUCGUGGGUUCGAUUCCCGCCGGGGGUG
This 72-nucleotide transfer RNA is filed under the name Clostridia bacterium. RNAcentral describes it as "tRNA-Arg". It matches the Rfam family "tRNA". Rfam says of the family: Transfer RNA (tRNA) molecules are approximately 80 nucleotides in length. Their secondary structure includes four short double-helical elements and three loops (D, anti-codon, and T loops). Further hydrogen bonds mediate the characteristic L-shaped molecular structure. tRNAs have two regions of fundamental functional importance: the anti-codon, which is responsible for specific mRNA codon recognition, and the 3' end, to which the tRNAs corresponding amino acid is attached (by aminoacyl-tRNA synthetases). tRNAs cope with the degeneracy of the genetic code in two manners: having more than one tRNA (with a specific anti-codon) for a particular amino acid; and 'wobble' base-pairing, i.e. permitting non-standard base-pairing at the 3rd anti-codon position. The record is from RNAcentral. Lineage: Bacteria; Bacillati; Bacillota; Clostridia.